Long non-coding RNA from Panthera uncia (snow leopard), 595 nucleotides. RefSeq lists it as uncharacterized. The transcript is spliced from 5 exons. The record is from RefSeq and is a predicted model, not a curated record. Lineage: Eukaryota; Metazoa; Chordata; Mammalia; Carnivora; Felidae.
GUAAACUAUUAUUGCAGGCUGGAAAGCUGGAGACCCAUGUUAUGAUGUCACAAACUAUUUAUUAAACCUGUUGCUGCAAUGAUUUAAAAGCUCCUGUUCCAGAAGGCAUCCAGGUUCCAAGUGGAGAAUGUUGAGGCUCAGGCUACAUGAGGCAGAGGAAGACUUCAAGGGCAGUAUCACUGGAUCUUCAUGUCUCAGGGCAAACCGUUAAUUAGAAUACGUCAGAAGAAUCAGCAGACAAAGCUAGAAUGUGGAUAUCAACCACCCAAAAAGGCCAAGGACCCUGGACGAUAAUCUCAAACUCUCCAGACUAAUUUUCUUCCCAAGGCCUCGUAGGAUGUUUCCCACCGAAAGCUCAGUGCACAAUACUAUCUGUUACACAUGGAUACCAGCAAUAAUACACGAGGGGCUCCCGCAUAAGAGGCAGCAAGCUCUGUGCUCAUCUGCGUUCUGAGUCUCACCCUGCAAUGGAGUUUCUGCUCACGCCAUAGCCACCAUCAUCAGCAAUUAGAACAAAAGUAUUAUGUUUGUAAUAUUUGAUCCUCUGUAUUUUACCCAUGCAAUGUGAUGUUUGUCAUCUAGUGCCAUAUGAAUA